CACUAUGAAGCUAAACAGCAUUAACCUUUUAAGUUAAAGAUUGAGAAAUAAAUUCUCCAUAGUGA
RNAcentral lists this transfer RNA (65 nucleotides) under Proechimys brevicauda. Its description in RNAcentral is "tRNA-Lys". It matches the Rfam family "tRNA". From Rfam's summary of the family: Transfer RNA (tRNA) molecules are approximately 80 nucleotides in length. Lineage: Eukaryota; Metazoa; Chordata; Mammalia; Rodentia; Echimyidae. The record is from RNAcentral.